UACAGAGGUGGCAAGCGUUGUUCGGAAUUACUGGGCGUAAAGGGCGCGUAGGCGGCCUGUUAAGUCGGACGUGAAAUCCCUCGGCUCAACCGGGGAACUGCGUCCGAUACUGGCGGGCUUGAAUUCGGGAGAGGGAUGUGGAGUUCCAGGUGUAGCGGUGAAAUGCGUAGAUAUCUGGAGGAACACCGGUGGCGAAGGCGGCAUCCUGGACCGACAUUGACGCUGAGGCGCGAAAGCCAGGGGAGCAAACGGG
This 253-nucleotide ribosomal RNA is filed under the name uncultured bacterium. RNAcentral's name for it is "partial 16S ribosomal RNA". It matches the Rfam family "Bacterial small subunit ribosomal RNA", at positions 524 to 776 of the family's 1533-position model. The record is from RNAcentral.